AUUGAACGCUGGCGGCAUGCCUUACACAUGCAAGUCGAACGGCAGCACGGGAGCAAUCCUGGUGGCGAGUGGCGAACGGGUGAGUAAUAUAUCGGAACGUGCCCAGUCGUGGGGGAUAACGUAGCGAAAGCUACGCUAAUACCGCAUACGAUCUAUGGAUGAAAGCGGGGGAUCGCAAGACCUCGCGCGAUUGGAGCGGCCGAUAUCAGAUUAGGUAGUUGGUGAGGUAAAGGCUCACCAAGCCGACGAUCUGUAGCUGGUCUGAGAGGACGACCAGCCACACUGGGACUGAGACACGGCCCAGACUCCUACGGGAGGGCAGCAGUGGGGAAUUUUGGACAAUGGGCGGCAAGCCUGAUCCAGCAAUGCCGCGUGCAGGAUGAA
Molecule: ribosomal RNA, 384 nt
Filed under: uncultured bacterium
Lineage: Bacteria
Description: bacterial SSU rRNA
Rfam family: Bacterial small subunit ribosomal RNA
Source: RNAcentral